ACGCGUAAGAACCUGCCUUCAGGACUGGAAUAACAGAGGGAAACGUCUGCUAAAACCGGAUGUGCCGAAAGGUGAAAAAUUAAUUGCCUGAAGAGGGGCUUGCGUCUGAUUAGCUAGUUGGAGUGGUAAAAGCACACCAAGGCGACGAUCAGUAACUGGUCUGAGAGGAUGAGCAGUCACACUGGGACUGAGACACGGCCCAGACUCCUACGGGAGGCAGCAGUGGGGAAUUUUCCGCAAUGGGCGAAAGCCUGACGGAGCAAGACCGCGUGAGGGAGGAAGGCCCUAGGGUUGUAAACCUCUUUUCUCUGGGAAGAAGAAUGACGGUACCAGAGGAAUAAGCCUCGGCUAACUCCGUGCCAGCAGCCGCGGUAAUACGGAGGAGGCAAGCGUUAUCCGGAAUGAUUGGGCGUAAAGAGUUCGUAGGUGGUAAUGAAAGUUUGCCGUUAAAGACUAAGGCUCAACCUUAGGAGAGCGGUGAAAACUACAUAACUAGAGUAUGGAAGGGGCAGAGGGAAUUCUUGGUGUAGCGGUGAAAUGCGUAGAGAUCAAGAGGAACAUCGGUGGCGAAAGCGCUCUGCUAGGCCAAAACUGACACUGAGGAACGAAAGCUAGGGGAGCGAAAGGGAUUAGAUACCCCUGUAGUCCUAGCCGUAAACGAUGGAUACUAGGUGUGGCUUGUAUCGACCCGAGCCGUGCCGUAGCUAACGCGUUAAGUAUCCCGCCUGGGGAGUACGCAC
Molecule: ribosomal RNA, 740 nt
Filed under: uncultured bacterium
Lineage: Bacteria
Description: bacterial SSU rRNA
Rfam family: Bacterial small subunit ribosomal RNA
Source: RNAcentral